RNAcentral lists this non-coding RNA (28 nucleotides) under Cricetulus griseus (Chinese hamster). Lineage: Eukaryota; Metazoa; Chordata; Mammalia; Rodentia; Cricetidae. The record is from RNAcentral.
UUAAUAGGGUUUUCAGGGACAAUAGAAU